CUUGGCCUGGCUGCGAUCGAGAGGGCCAGGAAGCGCCAGGCCUCGCGCAUCACAUGGCUAAGGGCUGGAGAAGCCCGAUCGGCCUUUCUCCAUGCCAAAAUCAAUUCGAGGAGGCCGAAAAACUUCAUCCACACCAUCCACAGGUCAGACUCCAUCGUCACGUCGCACAGUGACAAGGCCAGUGCUAUAUACGACCACUUCACCUCCUCCCUUGGGGCGGCGCCAGUCAGAGACACCACCAUUGCCUGGAGCUCACUCAGUCUUCCGUCGCUGCCGGCUGCCGAUCUAGAUAAUCCA
This 297-nucleotide ribosomal RNA is filed under the name Triticum aestivum (bread wheat). Its description in RNAcentral is "partial small subunit ribosomal RNA". Lineage: Eukaryota; Viridiplantae; Streptophyta; Magnoliopsida; Poales; Poaceae. The record is from RNAcentral.